CGAGCGCGCCCUUCGGGGUGAGCGGCGGACGGGUUAGUAACGCGUGGGAAUAUGCCCGACACUAAGGAAUAGCCUCUGGAAACGGAGAGUAAUACCUUAUACGCCCUUCGGGGGAAAGAUUUAUCGGUGACGGAUUAGCCCGCGUUAGAUUAGAUAGUUGGUGGGGUAAUGGCCUACCAAGUCUACGAUCUAUAGCUGGUUUUAGAGGAUGAUCAGCAACACUGGGACUGAGACACGGCCCAGACUCCUACGGGAGGCAGCAGUGGGGAAUCUUGGACAAUGGGCGCAAGCCUGAUCCAGCCAUGCCGCGUGAGUGAUGAAGGCCUUAGGGUCGUAAAGCUCUUUCGCCAGAGAUGAUAAUGACAGUAUCUGGUAAAGAAACCCCGGCUAACUCCGUGCCAGCAGCCGCGGUAAUACGGAGGGGGUUAGCGUUGUUCGGAAUUACUGGGCGUAAAGCGCGCGUAGGCGGAUUAGUCAGUUAGAGGUGAAAUCCCGGGGCUCAACCCCGGAACUGCCUUUAAUACUGCUAGUCUUGAGUUCGAGAGAGGUGAGUGGAAUUCCGAGUGUAGAGGUGAAAUUCGUAGAUAUUCGGAGGAACACCAGUGGCGAAGGCGGCUCACUGGCUCGAUACUGACGCUGAGGUGCGAAAGUGUGGGGAGCAAACAGGAUU
Molecule: ribosomal RNA, 670 nt
Filed under: uncultured Alphaproteobacteria bacterium
Lineage: Bacteria; Pseudomonadati; Pseudomonadota; Alphaproteobacteria
Description: bacterial SSU rRNA
Rfam family: Bacterial small subunit ribosomal RNA
Source: RNAcentral